RNAcentral lists this ribosomal RNA (1887 nucleotides) under Rhizobium sp. T1155. Its description in RNAcentral is "bacterial LSU rRNA". It matches the Rfam family "Bacterial large subunit ribosomal RNA", at positions 209 to 2259 of the family's 2925-position model. Lineage: Bacteria; Pseudomonadati; Pseudomonadota; Alphaproteobacteria; Hyphomicrobiales; Rhizobiaceae. The record is from RNAcentral.
CCUGCAGGAAAGGACAUCAACCGAGACUCCGCAAGUAGUGGCGAGCGAACGCGGACCAGGCCAGUGGCAAUCAAAGUUAAAGCGGAACGAUCUGGAAAGUUUGGCCGUAGCGGGUGACAGCCCCGUACGCGUAGAUGCUUUGAUUGUCCUAGAGUAGGGCGGGACACGAGAAAUCCUGUCUGAACAUGGGGAGACCACUCUCCAAGCCUAAGUACUCGUGCAUGACCGAUAGCGAACAAGUACCGUGAGGGAAAGGUGAAAAGCACCCCGACAAGGGGAGUGAAAUAGAACCUGAAACCGGAUGCCUACAAACAGUCGGAGCCCGCAAGGGUGACGGCGUACCUUUUGUAUAAUGGGUCAACGACUUAGUGUAACAAGCAAGCUUAAGCCGGUAGGUGUAGGCGAAGCGAAAGCGAGUCUGAAUAGGGCGAUUUAGUUUGUUGCAUUAGACCCGAAACCGAGUGAUCUAGCCAUGAGCAGGUUGAAGGUUGGGUAACACCAACUGGAGGACCGAACCCGCAUCUGUUGCAAUAGAUUGGGAUGACUUGUGGCUAGGGGUGAAAGGCCAAUCAAACUCGRGAAAUAGCUGGUUCUCCGCGAAAUCUAUUUAGGUAGAGCGUCGACCGAAUACCCCCGGGGGUAGAGCACUGGAUGGGCUAUGGGGACUCACCGUCUUACUGAUCCUAACCAAACUCCGAAUACCGGGGAGUACUAGUCGGCAGACACACGGCGGGUGCUAACGUCCGUCGUGAAAAGGGCAACAACCCUAACCUCCAGCUAAGGUCCCCAAGUCAUGGCUAAGUGGGAAAGGAUGUGAGGAUCCCAAAACAACCAGGAUGUUGGCUUAGAAGCAGCCAUCAUUUAAAGAAAGCGUAACAGCUCACUGGUCUAAAUAAGGGUCUUUGCGCCGAAAAUGUAACGGGGCUGAAGCCAUGCACCGAAGCUGAGGAUGUGUAGCAAUACACGUGGUAGCGGAGCGUUCCGUAAGCCUGUGAAGGGAUACCUGUGAGGGGUCCUGGAGGUAUCGGAAGUGCGAAUGUUGACAUGAGUAACGAUAAAGAGGGUGAGAGACCCUCUCGCCGAAAGACCAAGGGUUCCUGCUUAAAGUUAAUCUGAGCAGGGUUAGCCGGCCCCUAAGGCGAGGCAGAAAUGCGUAGUCGAUGGGAACCACGUUAAUAUUCGUGGGCCUGGUGGUAGUGACGGAUUGCUCAACUUGUUCAGACUUAUUGGAUUGUCUGGGCAGGGACGCGGUUCCAGGAAAUAGCUCCACCGUAUAGACCGUACCCGAAACCGACACAGGUGGUCAGGUAGAGUAUACCAAGGCGCUUGAGAGAACUAUGUUGAAGGAACUCGGCAAAUUGCACGCGUAACUUCGGAAGAAGCGUGACCCCAUGAUACGCAAGUAUGGUGGGGUGGCACAGACCAGGGGGUAGCGACUGUUUAUCAAAAACACAGGGCUCUGCGAAGUCGCAAGACGACGUAUAGGGUCUGACGCCUGCCCGGUGCUGGAAGGUUAAGAGGAGAGGUGCAAGCUUUGAAUCGAAGCCCCAGUAAACGGCGGCCGUAACUAUAACGGUCCUAAGGUAGCGAAAUUCCUUGUCGGGUAAGUUCCGACCUGCACGAAUGGCGUAACGACUUCCCCGCUGUCUCCAACAUAGACUCAGUGAAAUUGAAUUCCCCGUGAAGAUGCGGGGUUCCUGCGGUCAGACGGAAAGACCCCGUGCACCUUUACUAUAGCUUUACACUGGCAUUCGUGUCGGCAUGUGUAGGAUAGGUGGUAGGCUUUGAAGCGGGGACGCCAGUUUCCGUGGAGCCAUCCUUGAAAUACCACCCUUAUCGUCAUGGAUGUCUAACCGCGGUCCGUUAUCCGGAUCCGGGACAGUGUAU